UGAGGAAUAUUGGUCAAUGGACGAGAGUCUGAACCAGCCAAGUAGCGUGCAGGAUGACGGCCCUAUGGGUUGUAAACUGCUUUUGUUUGGGAAUAAUCGACAUUACGUGUAAUGUUUUGCAUGUACCAUUCGAAUAAGGACCGGCUAAUUCCGUGCCAGCAGCCGCGGUAAUACGGAAGGUUCGGGCGUUAUCCGGAUUUAUUGGGUUUAAAGGGAGCGUAGGCCGUUUGGUAAGCGUGUUGUGAAAUGUAGGAGCUCAACUUCUAGAUUGCAGCGCGAACUGUCAGACUUGAGUGCGCACAACGUAGGCGGAAUUCAUGGUGUAGCGGUGAAAUGCUUAGAUAUCAUGAAGAACUCCGAUUGCGAAUGCAGCUUACGGGAGCGCAACUGACGCUGAAGCUCGAAGGUGCGGGUAUCGAACAGG
This 424-nucleotide ribosomal RNA is filed under the name Verrucomicrobiota bacterium. Its description in RNAcentral is "Verrucomicrobia bacterium partial 16S ribosomal RNA". It matches the Rfam family "Bacterial small subunit ribosomal RNA", at positions 355 to 776 of the family's 1533-position model. Lineage: Bacteria; Pseudomonadati; Verrucomicrobiota. The record is from RNAcentral.